CGGCGGCGGGACAGCACCUACCUUCCCGGCUUCAGGUCCGGGAGUGCGGGGCGCGGAGCCGCCGGAGCGCUGCCUCCCUCCUUCCUCCUCCCCCCGCCCCCGCCCCGCAGCGCGACACACAAUACUCGCCGGAAGCGGAAGCCGCGCGGAGAAGCUCGUGUCAGUGGAAGCCCGGGUGUCGGCUCGCUGCCGUGGGAAGGCCUAGCGGUGCUUGCGGGAGGAGAAGGAGGGGGGCCAGAGGCCAGUCCAGAGAGAAGGUGGCGAGCUGAGGCGGCCAGUUACGUGGCGGACCUGCGGGUCUCAGCUGGCACGUCACUUCCGACUGUUUGAGUUUUAGCCUUUUAACAUUCCAGGAUUAGGAUGUUGCAGGUGACAGAUGGCAGGAAUGGAGGGUAGCAAGGUCUCUGCACUGCAUAUGCUCAUACGCAGGCUGCACAGUCACUGAACAAGAAUUCCUCUGUUCACUGCAGCCAGGAUGAGAAUCCCUGCUGGUGAUUCCUCUUCCUCCUCCUGUCUGAAGGUGGUGGCUGUGGAGGUCGAGAUCUGGAGAAGAAUCAAUCCCCUCAGAUGGAGAAGGAACGCAGGGUCACUUGUCAUGGGGUUCCAUCAGAAAUCUGCUCUUAGAUUUCUGUACGUCCAAGGCUGCCUUGGAUGGCGCACCUUGAGACAGUUGACUCCAGGUCCCUCGCAUCUUGUCUCCUGGUGAUCCCAAAUACUCACUGCAUGACUUCACCCUAUUCUGUGUGUCACCAGCAAGUCACUAUGUCCAGCUUCUGUUCCCAAAGUGGGUAUUACACAAGGGCAUGAAUACUGGAGGAUGGGAACACUGGAGCCAUCUUGGAGUCUGCCUACAACAGGGGUGACUUUGGGAACCACCUGAAUGCGUGGCCUUUCGCAGGCCUGUGGCUAGAAAUGCAGAGACCAGACUGAAUGAAGAGUUCAAGUCCAAGGGUGUUGGUCACUCCCCAGGAAUCCAGAUCAGAGUCGGGAUGUCACACAUUGUUGCAGGUGGACAGGGAGGCUCCACCAGUCAGGUGAGCACAAGCCAGACUCUGACCCAGGAUGUGGUGACACGGAAGCUGGGACAGUGCUGCCUGCAUUUGGCACAGGUGGCGUGAGUGGCCGUCGUGUCAUCCAGCUGCCAGGAGCGGCAGCGACGGCAGUCCUGGCCUCAGGGUGCGGUGAUGUGAACAGUGGGAUCUGUGCCCAGCACCGGGGGCAGUGAUUCCUAUUUGGGCCUUGACCUAGGGUGGGAUGGUGGAUUCUGUUCCUGGCUGUGCAGCCUCGGGCCUGUUCUGUGGCUUUCCUUGAAAUAAAAUGAGGCCCAGUGUUCU
This is a non-coding RNA of Leptonychotes weddellii (Weddell seal), 1334 nucleotides long. The record is from RefSeq and is a predicted model, not a curated record. NCBI's taxonomy places the organism in Eukaryota, Metazoa, Chordata, Mammalia, Carnivora, Phocidae.